AGAGUAGGAACCACCUAUUUGAGAGAUAAACACAGAUGAUUCUUCUUUUACUGAGAGAGAGAGUGGUGCUACAAUCCCCUCAUUCAUGAAUAUAAUCCCCACAAAAGAAACACCCCCCACUCGGAUCCGCACCAACAAAUUCACCGAGGGUUUUCAGAACAUCGUGGAUGCUUAUGGAGUCGGAAGCUACAGAGAAGUCAAUCCAGCUCUCUUUACCAUCAUCACCUUCCCGUUUUUAUUUGCUGUGAUGUUUGGAGACUUCGGACAUGGCUUUGUGAUGUUUUUAUUUGCCCUCUUGUUGGUGUUAAAUGAAAAUCAUCCCAGACUAAAUCAGUCACAAGAGAUCAUGAGGAUGUUUUUUAAUGGCCGGUACAUCCUCCUGCUGAUGGGGCUGUUCUCAGUGUACACUGGCCUCAUCUACAACGACUGCUUUUCAAAGUCAGUCAACCUGUUCGGCUCCGGGUGGAACGUGUCGGCCAUGUACAGCUCCAGCCACCCACCCGCAGAGCAUAAGAAGAUGGUGCUUUGGAACGACAGCGUCGUCAGGCACAACAGCAUUUUGCAGCUGGAUCCAAGCAUUCCUGGAGUGUUCCGAGGCCCUUAUCCCCUUGGCAUUGAUCCUAUUUGGAACUUGGCCACAAAUCGCCUCACUUUUCUAAACUCUUUCAAAAUGAAAAUGUCCGUGAUUUUAGGAAUCAUUCACAUGACUUUUGGAGUCAUUCUGGGAAUAUUUAACCACUUG
This 742-nucleotide small RNA is filed under the name Pan troglodytes (chimpanzee). Its description in RNAcentral is "processed transcript". The record is from RNAcentral. Lineage: Eukaryota; Metazoa; Chordata; Mammalia; Primates; Hominidae.